UUUGAAGUGCCUGAAGUUUAAGGGAUAUCUUGAUGUGAUAUAAAUGAUUAGUUGAUCCUUCAUUU
This 65-nucleotide transfer RNA is filed under the name Brueelia antiqua. RNAcentral describes it as "tRNA-Ile". Lineage: Eukaryota; Metazoa; Arthropoda; Insecta; Psocodea; Philopteridae. The record is from RNAcentral.